RNAcentral lists this transfer RNA (115 nucleotides) under uncultured bacterium 282. RNAcentral describes it as "tRNA-Ile". The stretch from base 1 to 74 matches the Rfam family "tRNA". From Rfam's summary of the family: Transfer RNA (tRNA) molecules are approximately 80 nucleotides in length. The record is from RNAcentral.
GGGCCUGUAGCUCAGUUGGUUAGAGCGCACCCCUGAUAAGGGUGAGGUCGGUAGUUCGAAUCUACCCAGGCCCACCACCUCUAUCUUAAAACUAUCUGCUAUGCUGGUAGUGAUG